RNAcentral lists this ribosomal RNA (606 nucleotides) under Daldinia loculata. Its description in RNAcentral is "eukaryotic LSU rRNA". It matches the Rfam family "Eukaryotic large subunit ribosomal RNA", at positions 1 to 599 of the family's 3401-position model. Lineage: Eukaryota; Fungi; Ascomycota; Sordariomycetes; Xylariales; Hypoxylaceae. The record is from RNAcentral.
CCUAUAUUUCUAGUGGUUGACCUCGGAUUAGGUAGGAAUACCCGCUGAACUUAAGCAUAUCAAUAAGCGGAGGAAAAGAAACCAACAGGGAUUGCCCUAGUAACGGCGAGUGAAGCGGCAACAGCUCAAAUUUGAAAUCUGGCCCUAGCGGUCCGAGUUGUAAUUUGUAGAGGAUGCUUUUGGUUAGGUGCCUUCUGAGUUCCCUGGAACGGGACGCCAGAGAGGGUGAGAGCCCCGUACGGUUGGACACCGAGCCUCUAUAUAGCUCCUUCGACGAGUCGAGUAGUUUGGGAAUGCUGCUCUAAAUGGGAGGUAAAUUUCUUCUAAAGCUAAAUACCGGCCAGAGACCGAUAGCGCACAAGUAGAGUGAUCGAAAGAUGAAAAGUACUUUGAAAAGAGGGUUAAAUAGCACGUGAAAUUGUUGAAAGGGAAGCGUUUGCGACCAGACUUUUUCCAGGCGGAUCAUCCGGUGUUCUCACCGGUGCACUUCGCCUGGUUUAGGCCAGCAUCGGUUCUCUUAGGGGGAUAAAGGCCUGGGGAACGUAGCUCCUUCGGGAGUGUUAUAGCCCCUAGCGUAAUACCCUUCGGGGGACCGAGGAACGCGCA